CAGCAGCCACGGGAAUACGAAGGGGGCUAGCGUUGCUCGGAAUCACUGGGCGUAAAGGGUGCGUAGGCGGGUUUUUAAGUCAGGGGUGAAAUCCUGGAGCUCAACUCCAGAACUGCCCUUGAUACUGGAGAUCUUGAGUCCGGGAGAGGUGAGUGGAACUGCGAGUGUAGAGGUGAAAUUCGUAGAUAUUCGCAAGAACACCAGUGGCGAAGGCGGCUCACUGGCCCGGUACUGACGCUGAGGCGCGAAAGCGUGGGGAGCAAACAGGAUUAGAGACCCGUGUAGUCCCUGUCUCUUAUAC
Molecule: ribosomal RNA, 301 nt
Filed under: uncultured bacterium
Lineage: Bacteria
Description: partial 16S ribosomal RNA
Rfam family: Bacterial small subunit ribosomal RNA
Source: RNAcentral